Long non-coding RNA from Neopsephotus bourkii (Bourke's parrot), 316 nucleotides. RefSeq lists it as uncharacterized. The record is from RefSeq and is a predicted model, not a curated record. The transcript has 2 exons. NCBI's taxonomy places the organism in Eukaryota, Metazoa, Chordata, Aves, Psittaciformes, Psittacidae.
AGGGAACGCGUUCUCCCACAGCAACAGGCAGGGCUUUGCGGCUUCCUGAGCAUACUUGGAAGAGAGGACAUUCCCACCGUGCAUGGUUUACCAUAUGCUAAACGCUUCACCUCUCGACAGUGGUGCAGGACAGUGCUCGAAGCUACAUGGCAAAACCGAGGUGCAUCUUUCUUUGAAUUACAGCUUCUCCACAAGCAGUGGUCAGCGGCAGGACAUCCUCUGAAAUCCUGGAUAUAAACACUGCCGUGCUAAGAAUGGGAUUACUUGGCAGCUGCUCCUGUUGAGGGUACUAUAAUAAACAAAGGUUGGAAACCUU